Molecule: long non-coding RNA, 237 nt
Filed under: Elaeis guineensis (African oil palm)
Lineage: Eukaryota; Viridiplantae; Streptophyta; Magnoliopsida; Arecales; Arecaceae
Description: long non-coding RNA (EGUI_LNC064342)
Source: RNAcentral
UGGUCGGGACUCAUAAUAGAUAGAGGGAUUGUAUCAUGCAUUAACUACACCUAGAGAUUCAUCUUUUAUUCUGCUGGAUUGUCACUACAUACUGCUAGGUGUCAUUGAUGGAUUGUGAGACUCAUGAGGAUUAUCUUGAUGAUCAAUGAUCCUUGGUGGGUUGAGUUAGAAUUGUUCCAACCUAUUAAAAAGAGUUUCAAUGAUAUUAUGAUAGAGAUCAUAAUAUAUCUCACUACC